This 1276-nucleotide long non-coding RNA is filed under the name Salmo salar (Atlantic salmon). RNAcentral's name for it is "lncRNA (ENSSSAG00000117098.1, ENSSSAG00020080096.1, ENSSSAG00075030259.1)". The record is from RNAcentral. Lineage: Eukaryota; Metazoa; Chordata; Actinopteri; Salmoniformes; Salmonidae.
CUUUACAAUAACGUUCCAUUUGUAAAGGGUUUAUGAAGGGUUUGUAAUUACAAUUACAACGGUUAUUUAAUCAAUUGUCAAUGCAUUAUAAACCAUUAAAAAAUGGGUUAUAACAAAUUUCUCAAAUUACUGUGAUAGCCAGUCAGUGCUUGCCACAUAGUGAGCCACUAUUUACCUCCAGCUAAUAACCAUUUAUAAAUGCAUAAUGUGCGCAUAAUAUUGAACCCUUAUGUAUCAUCAUGGAACCUUACUUUCAAUUGUUAUUUUCUAACUUUUGUGUGUUUGCAUUGUUGCUCUGUCCCAGGAACAGAAAUGGUUGGUUUUCAGACCAAUGGUCAACUCCCAUGAUGUGUCUUGCCCCAUGUUUGAAACCCUGAUGAUGCAUUGGUACACUUACUUAUUACAGAAAUUAACGCUCAAGGUUUCAAUACAUAUUAUUGGUGUGAUUCAUAGGUUUCUGAAAAAUUGUGAAACGUGCUUGAAAUAAAGACGACCUGGAACGUGCCCAGAAUGUUGAAUUGACACUUACAUCAUGUGACAGUGCAUCGUAAAUAAUCAGGAUGAACGUGGCUAUGAGAAGUGUUCAAAGUCCAGACAAGAGAUUGCGUGACAAAAACGUUGUUCAAAGGAUACAGGGUAGAGAGGGUCUGACUCAAGAAUGGGGAAAUGCUUAACAAGAAAGAAACGGAUGAAAACCGAACAGAAGGUGUUUGAAUGUUAAAUGACGAGACAGAGGCGUUGAUGCGAGUAACCAGUCUUGUUCCGUAUAUUGCAAUACAUCCGGGUAUUUCAAGCACACCGGUAAAAAACACUGGAGUUGCAGUAAUUAACAUUUACCAACAGAUGGCAUCACUGUGCCAUCUUACACCCAUAACAGAAGGGGCCAUGGGGCGCUGUGUUGUAUUUUAAAUAGUUAAAUCUAUUAUCAAUUUCUAUUGUGACUUGUAAUGUUAAAAAAAGGUAGAGAAAAAUAACUCCUGUUUAUCUGAAUUAGUUAGGCUCACAUUGAUAGGCUACACAGAUUUGAGUCACUGCAAUUAAAUUGUUUUCCCAAUGUAUCCUUCAAUUCAAUAGUUUUCACUAUGUAUUGCAUGUUUGAGAUUAUAUACUAUUAAACAUGUUUGUAACUUAAUAUUAAUAAAUGGCCAGGAGGUUUCCAGUUUUAAGCUAUAUUUUUUAAAGUUAUAAAUAUUGGUAGGCUUAACUCAAUAAAUGGUCAGUAGGUUUUGACUUUCUUUAAAGGUUAUAGAUCUGUCAUUGAAAGCAAGUGUAAGAA